This 294-nucleotide ribosomal RNA is filed under the name uncultured bacterium. RNAcentral's name for it is "partial 16S ribosomal RNA". It matches the Rfam family "Archaeal small subunit ribosomal RNA", at positions 455 to 747 of the family's 1478-position model. The record is from RNAcentral.
GUGUCCAGCAGCCGCGGUAAUACCGGCAGCACGAGUGAUGACCGAUAUUAUUGGGCCUAAAGCGUCCGUAGCUGGCCAAGCAAGUCCAUUGGGAAAUCUACGCGCUCAACGCGUGGGCGUCCGGUGGAAACUGUUUGGCUUGGGGCCAGAAGACCUGAGGGGUACGUCCGGGGUAGGAGUGAAAUCCUAUAAUCCUGGACGGACCACCAAUGGGGAAACCACCUCAGGAGGAUGGACCCGACAGUGAGGGACGAAAGCUAGGGUCUCGAACCGGAUUAGAUACCCGAGUAGUCC